This 497-nucleotide ribosomal RNA is filed under the name uncultured bacterium. RNAcentral describes it as "partial 16S ribosomal RNA". It matches the Rfam family "Bacterial small subunit ribosomal RNA", at positions 28 to 507 of the family's 1533-position model. The record is from RNAcentral.
GACGAACGCUGGCGGCGUGCCUAAUACAUGCAAGUUGAGCGAUGAAGCUUGGUGCUUGCACCAAUUUGCAGAGCAGCGAACGGGUGAGUAACGCGUGGGGAAUCUGCCUUUGAGCGGGGGACAACAUUUGGAAACGAAUGCUAAUACCGCAUAACAACUUUAAACAUAAGUUUUAAGUUUGAAAGAUGCAAUUGCAUCACUCAAAGAUGAUCCCGCGUUGUAUUAGCUAGUUGGUGAGGUAAAGGCUCACCAAGGCGAUGAUACAUAACCGACCUGAGAGGAUGAACAGCCAAAAUGGGACUGGCACACGGCCCAAACGCCUGCAGGGGGCAGCAGUAGGGAAUCUUCGGACAUGGAAGAAAGUCUGACCGAGCAACGCCGGGUGAGUGAAGAAGGUUUUCGGAUCGUAAAACACUGUUGGUAGAGAAGAACGUUGGUGGGAGUGGAAAGCUCAUCAAGUGACGGUAACUACCCAGAAAGGGACGGCUAACUACGUG